Molecule: ribosomal RNA, 1372 nt
Filed under: uncultured bacterium
Lineage: Bacteria
Description: bacterial SSU rRNA
Rfam family: Bacterial small subunit ribosomal RNA
Source: RNAcentral
GAUGAACGCUGGCGGCGUGCCUAAUACAUGCAAGUCGAGCGAACGGACGAGGAGCUUGCUUCUCUGAUGUUAGCGGCGGACGGGUGAGUAACACGUGGAUAACCUACCUAUAAGACUGGGAUAACUUCGGGAAACCGGAGCUAAUACCGGAUAAUAUUUUGAACCGCAUGGUUCAAAAGUGAAAGACGGUCUUGCUGUCACUUAUAGAUGGAUCCGCGCUGCAUUAGCUAGUUGGUAAGGUAACGGCUUACCAAGGCAACGAUGCAUAGCCGACCUGAGAGGGUGAUCGGCCACACUGGAACUGAGACACGGUCCAGACUCCUACGGGAGGCAGCAGUAGGGAAUCUUCCGCAAUGGGCGAAAGCCUGACGGAGCAACGCCGCGUGAGUGAUGAAGGUCUUCGGAUCGUAAAACUCUGUUAUUAGGGAAGAACAUAUAUGUAAGUAACUGUGCACAUCUUGACGGUACCUAAUCAGAAAGCCACGGCUAACUACGUGCCAGCAGCCGCGGUAAUACGUAGGUGGCAAGCGUUAUCCGGAAUUAUUGGGCGUAAAGCGCGCGUAGGCGGUUUUUUAAGUCUGAUGUGAAAGCCCACGGCUCAACCGUGGAGGGUCAUUGGAAACUGGAAAACUUGAGUGCAGAAGAGGAAAGUGGAAUUCCAUGUGUAGCGGUGAAAUGCGCAGAGAUAUGGAGGAACACCAGUGGCGAAGGCGACUUUCUGGUCUGUAACUGACGCUGAUGUGCGAAAGCGUGGGGAUCAAACAGGAUUAGAUACCCUGGUAGUCCACGCCGUAAACGAUGAGUGCUAAGUGUUAGGGGGUUUCCGCCCCUUAGUGCUGCAGCUAACGCAUUAAGCACUCCGCCUGGGGAGUACGACCGCAAGGUUGAAACUCAAAGGAAUUGACGGGGACCCGCACAAGCGGUGGAGCAUGUGGUUUAAUUCGAAGCAACGCGAAGAACCUUACCAAAUCUUGACAUCCUUUGACAACUCUAGAGAUAGAGCUUUCCCCUUCGGGGGACAAAGUGACAGGUGGUGCAUGGUUGUCGUCAGCUCGUGUCGUGAGAUGUUGGGUUAAGUCCCGCAACGAGCGCAACCCUUAAGCUUAGUUGCCAUCAUUAAGUUGGGCACUCUAAGUUGACUGCCGGUGACAAACCGGAGGAAGGUGGGGAUGACGUCAAAUCAUCAUGCCCCUUAUGAUUUGGGCUACACACGUGCUACAAUGGACAAUACAAAGGGCAGCGAAACCGCGAGGUCAAGCAAAUCCCAUAAAGUUGUUCUCAGUUCGGAUUGUAGUCUGCAACUCGACUACAUGAAGCUGGAAUCGCUAGUAAUCGUAGAUCAGCAUGCUACGGUGAAUACGUUCCCGGGUCU